Molecule: ribosomal RNA, 802 nt
Filed under: Chaetothyriales sp.
Lineage: Eukaryota; Fungi; Ascomycota; Eurotiomycetes; Chaetothyriales
Description: eukaryotic LSU rRNA
Rfam family: Eukaryotic large subunit ribosomal RNA
Source: RNAcentral
UUAAGCAUAUCAAUAAGCGGAGGAAAAGAAACCAACAGGGAUUACCCUAGUAACGGCGAGUGAAGCGGUAACAGCUCAAAUUUGAAAUCUGGCCUUCACGGGUCCGAGUUGUAAUUUGUAGAGGAUGUUUCGGGCAAGGCUCUGGUUUAAAUUUCUUGGAACAGAAUGUCAUAGAGGGUGAGAGUCCCGUCUAGAACCGAUGGCCGCGUCCAUGUGAAACUCCUUCGACGAGUCGAGUUGUUUGGGAAUGCAGCUCAAAAUGGGUGGUAAAUUUCAUCUAAAGCUAAAUAUUGGCCAGAGACCGAUAGCGCACAAGUAGAGUGAUCGAAAGAUGAAAAGCACUUUGAAAAGAGAGUUAAACAGUAUGUGAAAUUGUUGAAAGGGAAGCGCUUGCAACCAGACUUGCGUGUGGCGGUUCCCCCGGUCUUCUGACCGGGCUACUCCGUCACAUUCGGGCCAGCAUCGGUUUGGGUGGUUGGUGAAAGGCCCCGAGAAUGUAUCUACCUCCGGGUCGACUUAUAGCUCGGGGCGUAAUGCGGCCUACCUGGACCGAGGAACGCGCUUUUGCUCGGAUGCUGGCGUAAUGGUUGUAAGCGGCCCGUCUUGAAACACGGACCAAGGAGUCUAACAUCUAUGCGAGUGUUAGGGUGUCAAACCCUUGCGCGUAAUGAAAGUGAACGGAGGUAAGAACCCUCAAGGGCGCAUUAUCGACCGAUCCUGAUGUCUUCGGAUGGAUUUGAGUAAGAGCAUAGCUGUUGGGACCCGAAAGAUGGUGAACUAUGCCUGAAUAGGGUGAAGCCAG